UACGUAGGGGGCAAGCGUUGUCCGGAAUCAUUGGGCGUAAAGCGCGCGUAGGCGGCCCUGUAAGUCCGCUGUAAAAGUCAAAGGCUCAGCCUUUGAAAGCCGGUGGAUACUGCAGGGCUAGAGUCCGGAAGAGGCGAGUGGAAUUCCUGGUGUAGCAGUGAAAUGCGUAGAUAUCGAGAGGAACACCAGUGGCGAAGGCGAGUCCCUGGACACUUCCUGACACUGAGGCACGAAAGCUAGGGGAGCAAACAGG
RNAcentral lists this ribosomal RNA (253 nucleotides) under uncultured bacterium. RNAcentral describes it as "partial 16S ribosomal RNA". It matches the Rfam family "Bacterial small subunit ribosomal RNA", at positions 524 to 776 of the family's 1533-position model. The record is from RNAcentral.